GAGGGAGGUUGGGGAGGUGGCUCAGGCAUUGAAAAAACUCUGCAAGAGGUUCUCAUAAGCAUCCAGGGUUGAGCCCCUGCCAACUUCUGUGUAAGCAAGUGUGGUCAGCGGGAUUGGGAAGCCGUAUCAGGAUUGUGCCCCUUUCUGCUCCCCCGCACCGGGCCCCACAGCGCUGUGCUCUUUCUUCUACACCCCACCCCCACCCCCCGCACACACUCUGACCCCUGGAGCUGCCCCUGACAAAAGUCGAGCCUCCUAUUCUCUAGAGCUGAAAACCUCAGCAGCGUUUAAGGUCUCAUCCCUGGGUCCUCCUCCCCCAUGUUCAGACAGGGGUUCUUGUCAGCUGGUUGUCUUGGGGUGGUGCGGCCUCGAACCCAGAACCUUGUGGUGGAGAACCUUACCCAGAGAGGAGGGCAAGGAGACGCGAGACCCGCUUCCCCGUCUCUGACUUCCUAGGCCCGGAGGUGAGGCUGCUGUCCCCGCCCCCUCCACUUGCAGCCUCUGCCCUGCGCCCCUUCUAGAACAGUUCAGCCGUGGCGGGAAGUGGAGUAACAUCCUGCUCACCGUGAUGGGGCAGCUGGACAGUCCCGGGUCAGCCUCAGAGCUGGGGGUCUGAUUGGGCAUCUGAGUACCCCUGGCUCUCAUUGGCAACAAACCAGGAACUCAAGAGAGCCCGGAGGCUGAGCCCUGGCAUCCUUCAUCCCUCCUGGGUGGCCUGGUCUAUGGGCUGGACCCUGUCCUGUUUCUUCCCCUGUGACCUCUGCCCGAUCUCCUUUCACCUUCUCCUCCACAACAGAAUCUCUUAUUUCGUGAUAUACUGAGACUUGGAAAAUGGAAGCGGGCCCACCUCCCUGGAUCUCAGAAAGGCCCAGGGAACCAGAAAGAAACGAAGAGAGCACAUGAGGCUCCUGGCAAGCCGAGGACACACAUUUGGUUCCACAUUCUUUCUUUCUUCUUUUUUUGAGGAAGACUAGCCCUGAGCUAACAUUCGCUGCCAAUCCUCCUCUUUUUGCUGAAGAAGACUAGCCCUGAGCUAACCUCCGUGCCCAUCUUC
RNAcentral lists this long non-coding RNA (1054 nucleotides) under Equus caballus (horse). Its description in RNAcentral is "lncRNA (ENSECAG00000049906.1)". Lineage: Eukaryota; Metazoa; Chordata; Mammalia; Perissodactyla; Equidae. The record is from RNAcentral.